UACGUAGGGUGCGAGCGUUGUCCGGAAUUAUUGGGCGUAAAGAGCUCGUAGGCGGUCUGUCGCGUCGGUCGUGAAAACUUGGGGCUUAACCCUGAGCUUGCGGUCGAUACGGGCAUGACUGGAGUUCGGCAGGGGAGACUGGAAUUCCUGGUGUAGCGGUGAAAUGCGCAGAUAUCAGGAAGAACACCCGUGGCGAAGGCGGCUCUCUGGGGAACGGUACUGACGCUGAGACGCGAAAAGCGUGGGGGAGCGAAACAGGG
This 260-nucleotide ribosomal RNA is filed under the name uncultured bacterium. RNAcentral describes it as "partial 16S ribosomal RNA". It matches the Rfam family "Bacterial small subunit ribosomal RNA", at positions 524 to 777 of the family's 1533-position model. The record is from RNAcentral.